AGUCGGGGGACACUGGUAGAUGUGAUGUUUGACAGAUGGCUGCCACAUCUCUUCAAAGAGUGGUGGCUGAAACCAGGGAGUCUCCAGGAAGGCUGGCUGUGUGACAGAACAGCUGAUAUCCAAACAAGGCUGUACUUCCCAGCUUCUUUUGUGGCUGAGCGUGUUCACGACAGAGUUGUGGCCAAGGCCAAUGGGACACACAUGGAGUUUUGUAUGAGAUCUUCGGGCUGCAGAAUUACUCAUCAGCGCUGGAAGCCUGCCCCCGCCAUGCUG
Heterocephalus glaber (naked mole-rat) is the source of this 273-nucleotide long non-coding RNA. RefSeq lists it as uncharacterized. NCBI's taxonomy places the organism in Eukaryota, Metazoa, Chordata, Mammalia, Rodentia, Bathyergidae. The record is from RefSeq and is a predicted model, not a curated record.